UACGUAGGGGGCAAGCGUUAUCCGGAUUUAUUGGGCGUAAAGGGAACGCAGGCGGUCUUUUAAGUCUGAUGUGAAAGCCUUCGGCUUAACCGGAGUAGUGCAUUGGAAACUGGGAGACUUGAGUGCAGAAGAGGAGAGUGGAACUCCAUGUGUAGCGGUGAAAUGCGUAGAUAUAUGGAAGAACACCAGUGGCGAAAGCGGCUCUCUGGUCUGUAACUGACGCUGAGGUUCGAAAGCGUGGGUAGCAAACAGG
RNAcentral lists this ribosomal RNA (253 nucleotides) under uncultured bacterium. Its description in RNAcentral is "partial 16S ribosomal RNA". It matches the Rfam family "Bacterial small subunit ribosomal RNA", at positions 524 to 776 of the family's 1533-position model. The record is from RNAcentral.